UACGGGGGGGGCAAGCGUUGUUCGGAAUUACUGGGCGUAAAGGGCGCGCAGGCGGCCCUCCAAGUCAGGCGUGAAAGCCCCGGGCUCAACCCGGGAAUAGCGCUUGAGACUGGGGGGCUUGAGUUCGGGAGAGGAGAGUGGAAUUCCCAGUGUAGAGGUGAAAUUCGUAGAUAUUGGGAAGAACACCGGUGGCGAAGGCGGCUCUCUGGACCGACACUGACGCUGAGGCGCGAAAGCGUGGGGAGCAAACAGG
RNAcentral lists this ribosomal RNA (253 nucleotides) under uncultured bacterium. RNAcentral describes it as "partial 16S ribosomal RNA". It matches the Rfam family "Bacterial small subunit ribosomal RNA", at positions 524 to 776 of the family's 1533-position model. The record is from RNAcentral.